GCGCCGGUGGUGCAAGGUGCACUUCCCCGUUACGUAGAAGCCCUGAUACAUAUUGUCUAAUUCAGGGAAGAUCGGGGUUCGAUUCCCCGCCGGUGCA
Non-coding RNA from Mycena rebaudengoi, 97 nucleotides. The record is from the annotation of a GenBank genome assembly. Lineage: Eukaryota; Fungi; Basidiomycota; Agaricomycetes; Agaricales; Mycenaceae.